Long non-coding RNA from Capra hircus (goat), 2487 nucleotides. NCBI's taxonomy places the organism in Eukaryota, Metazoa, Chordata, Mammalia, Artiodactyla, Bovidae. The record is from Ensembl.
UUGUAGUCCAAGUCAACAGGGCCCCAAAGGUCUGGGCUGGAGUAUUGCUAACUCUCCGGCUCAUGGAUCGAGCCAGACAAAGCGCCUGAGGUCAAAAUGUGGUAUCCCCAAGCUGUGUGCAGAUGUUCCUGUGUGAGCUGGAAGAGGAGGACUGGUCCCUCUUUGUCUGAGAUCAUGUGGAGUCCCUGCUGUGAACCAGGUCUCUCCUGUUCACCCUGGAGGGCUCAGCUAAAUGCCAUGAUAGCUAAUUAUCACCCAGAAGCCCCCAUCCCUACCUGGGCAGGGUCCCCUGCAAGAGGCUUUUGUAGCGCAGUGAUCAGCACUUCUGCAGAAUGGGACCCAUCCACGUUGCGGCAUCACCAUCUGCAUCCUACUCUGUCCCUGCAGCAGACUGAAAGUGUUCUCAGGGCAGGAACUUUCUCAGGUACCUGAGGCCUCUUGCUGGGGUUUCCUCCAACACACUCCCACUUUGGCUAGAAUUCCAUGCUCCCUGCUCUCUCCUCAGCUCAAGGUGAGUUUCAUCUGGGCUCUUGAGAGCAGCUGGGGAAAUACUCUCUGUAUUUAGGUCUCAUGUGGUUGUGACUGGACACAGGGUGAUGUCCUGGGGAGGAGACAGUCUCUGCAGCCUGGACCAGCUGUUCAGCGUUGACACGGCUGAAGGGUUCUGUCAUUCCAGUUGACCAUGGCCAGCUAAAAUGUGUGAGCUUGCUGGGAGCUAAUAGUUCCAAAUCUGUGUACUGUAUAGGGCUAUGGGAACAGAUGAUGGUGGGUCUUUUCCAAUGCAUUUGAUUUGUCCAUUGUCACAUGAACCAGAGAGGGGGAGGAAGGUCUGUAAUACACUGAGCUGUUUCUCCAAAACUUACACCUGGAACCUCCUUCUGAGAAUAUAUAAUCUCUUACCUUGCCUUGUCCUAUAGGAAUUAAAAAAGAAAAGCAUUUUGUCACUUUCUCGUGUUACCAAAAUUGAAUUUAAGAAUUUUUAGACAUGUUUUUCCCCAUCUAAUUAUUGAUGCAUGCUGUUCUAUUUACUCUAAAUUAAUUAUGUAAGAAAAGCAUGAUUCAUCCACAAAGACACUCAGUAAUUGCAUAGUUGAUCACACUUGGUUGAGAAACACAAUUUUAAAAUGUAAAUGGAAAUUUAAUUAUGUGUUAGCAUUGAAAAUAGGCAAGACCUGCUUUUGUGACCUCACAUUUGGAAUUCCUGCAUUUUGACUGAAAAAAAUUCAACUGAUUAAUUUUGAGUUUUAUCUCUAAAUAUUGACAUAAAAGAGGAGAACAGGUCACUUGCCGUUACUUAUUUAAACUAUCCCAUUGGUGGAGUGGAUAGUUUCAUUCCCAGUAAAGGAAGAAGCAUGCAUUUAAUUCUCAUUAUAGCUUUUUUACUUUAACAAUGGGUUCUGGAAUGCCAGAGACAGCCUGAAGGGCCACUAAGGCUUUUGACUAAAUAAAUGAAAUUUAGAGAUUAGGCUCAGAAAAUAUAGGAGUGAUUUGGCAGAAUUAUCAUUUCUUGAAAAAAUUUUUGAUGUGGACCGUUUUUAAAGUCUUUAUUAAAUUUGCUGCAAUAUUGCUUCUCUUCUAUGCGGUGGUUUUUGGCUGCAAGGCGUGUGGGAUCUUAGCUUCCUGACCAGGUGCUGAACCCACACCCCCUUCACUGGAAGGUGAAGUCUUAACCACUGGACCCCCAGGGAAGCCCCAGAAUUAUCACUUUUAAGCUUCUUGUGUGGGAGGCAGCUUCUAAGAUGAUUCCUUCUUCUAGAGAGUGGGCUGAACCUGGUGAAACUGAUGGGAUAACAAAGAAACUGACGGGAUAUUACUUCCAAGGACAGGUUGUAAGGGACUGUGACUUCUCUUUUGCUCUCCUUCUCUCUUCUCACUUGCUCAUGCUGAUGAACCUAGCUGCCAUGUUAUAAGGAAGCCUCCACAUACACCCUCCAGGGUGACUUCCAGCCAACAGCUGGUGACGAACUGAAGCUCUCAGUCCAACGCCCCACGAGGAGUGGAAUCCUGCUGAAAACCACGGAGUGAGCUUGGAAAUGGAUCUCGUCCCAGUCAAGCCUUUAGAUGACUGCAGCCCCCCUCAACACCUUGAUUGUAGCUUGUGAGACCUUGUGAGCCAGAGGACUCAGCUAAACUGUGCCCAGAUUCCAGAGUCACAGACAUAAUGUGACAUAGCUCAUGCUUUUAUUUUAAUCCACUAAAGUUAGAGUAACGUGUUAUGCUGCAAUAGGUAAGUAACACAUUAUUGACCAGAAAUGUAUUAAUAUGUCUUUAGUUACCUGAAUGCUAUUGACUAGAGUGCCUCAAUAUAUAUACUUGUGUGUUCACUUACGUAACAAAUUAUAGGCCACAGGUGUCAGUUUCUGCAAAAAUCUCCUGGUCAAUAAAGAGUUAGAAUGCUUCAUUUCUUGGUUGCUGAUUUCCACAUCACUGUUUCUUAUGCUUAGGUCUUUAACCAGAGGCGACGCAUUAAGGGAAAUCUGGUACACA